GAGGUAGCUCAGUUGGUUAGAGCGUGGUGGUGACAUCACCAAGGUCGCAAGUUUGAUUCCCAUGUUGGACA
This is a non-coding RNA of Podarcis lilfordi (Lilford's wall lizard), 71 nucleotides long. The record is from the annotation of a GenBank genome assembly. Lineage: Eukaryota; Metazoa; Chordata; Lepidosauria; Squamata; Lacertidae.